UGGGGAAUUUUGGACAAUGGGCGAAAGCCUGAUCCAGCAAUGCCGCGUGUGUGAAGAAGGCCUUCGGGUUGUAAAGCACUUUUGUCCGGAAAGAAAACGCCGUGGUUAAUACCCGUGGCGGAUGACGGUACCGGAAGAAUAAGCACCGGCUAACUACGUGCCAGCAGCCGCGGUAAUACGUAGGGUGCAAGCGUUAAUCGGAAUUACUGGGCGUAAAGCGUGCGCAGGCGGUCCGCUAAGACAGAUGUGAAAUCCCCGGGCUUAACCUGGGAACUGCAUUUGUGACUGGCGGGCUAGAGUAUGGCAGAGGGGGGUAGAAUUCCACGUGUAGCAGUGAAAUGCGUAGGGAUGUGGAGGAAUACCGAUGGCGAAGGCAGCCCCCUGGGCCAAUACUGACGCUCAUGCACGAAAGCGUGGGGAGCAAACAGG
Molecule: ribosomal RNA, 429 nt
Filed under: Bacillota bacterium
Lineage: Bacteria; Bacillati; Bacillota
Description: Firmicutes bacterium partial 16S ribosomal RNA
Rfam family: Bacterial small subunit ribosomal RNA
Source: RNAcentral